AAUUGUGGGACAACUGCAUGGCCGAGCAUAUGUGCAAGCUGUUUGGCGAGGUUCCGUUUGAGACCUUCAAGAACGAUACGCCAAGUGAGUUCAGUGGUUAAGACUUUUCCUUGGAACAUGUACAACUAUGUUAGGGGGGUAUUGAGGAGGGUAGGAUCCAGGCUGGAAUUGGGGAAGAGCUCACAAUUGUCACAGAAAUGGCCACGGGAAAGCUAUCAUGAUUCGUCAGCCCAACUGAGCGAGUGAGUUUCCACUCGACCUCACCCACUGGGACGCGUCUGUGAUCCCAUAUGCCAGAUGCAUCUGUGGAUGGGGUUCGCUACCGCUAUAGCUACUUCACCACCUUUUACGAUGACUUCAGCUGUGCAUAGCAGUGAAGAGUACACUGGUACCUGAUGAUGCUGUUCGUGAAGUUUUGCAGCGGUGGGAAAGACAGACCGGUGUAGAGGUUCAUCGUGUUUUAAGUCAUUGUGAGACCGAGUGUGUUAAGUCAAUAAGAGCCAUACCAGAGUCAUCCCAUGUAUUUUUCCGGAUAGUGUCGUCGUGCAUGGGAAGUCCAGCUCCAUACACAGCAGAGCAGAACGGAACAGCAAAG
Molecule: long non-coding RNA, 595 nt
Filed under: Volvox carteri
Lineage: Eukaryota; Viridiplantae; Chlorophyta; Chlorophyceae; Chlamydomonadales; Volvocaceae
Description: long non-coding RNA (VCAR_LNC001223)
Source: RNAcentral